AUAGCCUAACGGCUGAACCAGCAACUUGGAGGAAUGUAUAGCAAUUGCUAAUUGCACUAAGAAUCUUAGUGUAAAAUCGUGUUUGUCGAAUAAAAUUCUGGAUAGUAUAUGAUAAUGACAUUAACUGUUCAUAAGUCUUGACCAAAUUACGUGCCAGCAGUCGCGGUAAUACGUAGAAGACAAGUGUUAUUCAUCUUUAAUAGGUUUAAAGGGUACUUAGACGGUAAAUUGAGCCUCGAAAAGGGACUAAUUUGCUAGAGUUUUAUGUGAAGAAGUAUUAAAGUACUGCUGGUGUAGAGAUGAAAUUCAAUCAUACCUUAAAUGGCACAGGUUCCGGCGAAAGCAUCUUCUUAUGUAAAAACUGACGUUGAAGGACGAAGGCUUUGUGUCUCGAACAGGAUUAGAUACCCUAGUAGUCUAAGCAGACAAUGAUGAAUGUCAUAGAUUAGAUUUUAUUUGAUCUAUAAAUGAAAGUGUAAGCAUUCCACCUCAAGAGUAAUUUGGCAACAUUGGAACUGAAAUCAUUAGACCGUUUCUGAAACCAGUAGUGAAGUAUGUUGUUUAAUUUGAUAAUCCGCAAAAAACCUUACCACUUUUUGAAUAGAUAUUUUUUUAUCAUACAAGCGUUGCACGGCUGUCUUCAGUUAAUGUCGUGAGAUUUUGGUUAGUUCCAUAAAAUUAACGUAAACCCUUACUUUAUUUUAAGAUAAAGUAGUUCACCGCUAGAUUGGAUGUGACAAUAGGGAUCAAGACAAGUCAUCAUGACCUUAUAUAUAUUGU
This 780-nucleotide ribosomal RNA is filed under the name Blastenia crenularia. RNAcentral's name for it is "mitochondrial SSU rRNA". It matches the Rfam family "Bacterial small subunit ribosomal RNA", at positions 371 to 1210 of the family's 1533-position model. The record is from RNAcentral. Lineage: Eukaryota; Fungi; Ascomycota; Lecanoromycetes; Teloschistales; Teloschistaceae.